Molecule: long non-coding RNA, 1661 nt
Organism: Jaculus jaculus (lesser Egyptian jerboa)
Lineage: Eukaryota; Metazoa; Chordata; Mammalia; Rodentia; Dipodidae
Exons: 3
Source: RefSeq, a predicted model, not a curated record
GAUGAGGCCAGUCAGCGAGCGCAGCUGGUUGUGGUCAGCAGUGCGAACACGGUCUAGCAGGGGGUUCAGGAUGCGCUCCUGCUCCAGGGCCAGGCGGCUUAGCACCCCUGCCCACUGUACGGAAGGGCCAGGAGGGUGUUGAGUCCCAGUGGCAUCCCAGCCAGCACUGAGGCAGAGCUGCUUUUCUACCUCCUGCCUGGUACCUCUGUCUGCUGUGUUCUGGCCCAUCCAGGACAAGAGCAGGUGUCCCUUCCCCAACAAGCUGUGAAAUCCUGAGGCGUGGCCACCCACCCAGGUGCCCCUGCUGUCCAGCACAAGCCCCGAAGCAGGACCUGUCAGUCCACUGACCCUGCGGUCGCCCGCGGUGAUGUUCUGCAGAGCGCCGGCGGCUGCCUCUGUAGUGUGCCGGUUCAGCUCACAGCGCUGCAGCAGCCGGUUGUAGAGCCCCACAAUCUGGGGGCUCCACAGCCACUCGAGACCCUUGGGGUCCUUGGAUACCUCCGCAAAGGCGGUGCCCCGGUCAGGUCCCUGCGGCCCCGGCCCUCAAGCCGCUGUAGCGCGGAUGGCGGCAUCUCGUCGUACAGGCGGUAGGACAAGUUCCUUAACACACACACGGCGUUUUCCACGCUCUGCAGAGAACAGAGGGUGGUCAGAGCGGGCCGGAGCCCCUGGGGCCCCCUUGGCAUACCAGCUGGCCCUCACCUUGUCCUCGCACUUGCCCACGUCCAGGGCAUGGUUGAUGUAGGUGACCAGAGCAUCCACUAGCCCAUGGCACUCGCGCAUCUUCUGGCGAGUGGCCUGGGAGGCUGAGCUGAGGUUCCUGGGGAUAGAAGCAGAUCAGAACUCCCGCAAGAGGCACACCAAAAGUCUAACCCCCAAGAGACCCUACUGGAGCUACUCCACGGACCUCUGACCAGAAGCCCGUGCCCUGGAGAGGAGAUCACUGGGCAGUGAUCUCUGUUUCCCGAGUUGGGCCUGGCUCUUGUGCUCUUGAUGUCCCUAGAGCCAACCAAAUACCCCUUGCCGUGUCCCUCUACAUACCCAUCUUCCAAUCUACGAAAAGUCUGGGGAGAUGACUGGGAAACCUGACUUAAACCUGAGCGCACAGCUCCAGGGUCUACCGACACCCAUACCCCACAGCCAUACCCAGCUUGACCCACUCUUGCUUUAGCCCGAGCCCAGCUUCCCUGGCUAGUUUUCUCCUGGUUUCGAAUGAACAUGCUGACUGUAGGCAUCCCUGCUCUUCCCAUGGGCACCUGGCUCUUCCCCCUCAGCAUCUCCCGAGUCCAAUGCCUCCACCCAGGGCACCUGAGAAAGCCAGUAACGUUGUAGAAGAUCUCCGCCUCAGAGGCAUUCUGCUGGAGAAGGGGAGGUCCCCCUGCCCCUGAUAGGGGGCUCAGCACCAGGUCUGUGAGCUGCUCCAGUGUGUCGCGGGCCAGGCGGUCCUUCAAGUGAUCACUGGAGGACAGAUUCCAUAGGAUCCCUGGGUAGGAGGCCCAGAUAUGUGGUCAGUUCUCUAGCCCUUCUGGCUCCUCUGGGGAUGGUGUGAAGUAGGGCUGCCUUCACCUUCAUGGUACCUGGCCUUGCCUGAGAUCCCUGCUGGGUACACUUUUAGUGUGACCCUUGAAGGAAUGGGUAGGGACCAAGCAAUAGAAAUAACA